AAGAAUCGAUUUAAGAAAAAAACAAAAUAACGACACGACAACGAUGCAUAAUAACUCAAAUUAACUAGCCAACUAAAUUCAACCUGUCAACAUACCAAGUUCACCAACAUGAAUAAAAAUACAAGUUCAACAAUAUGAAUAAAAAUAUAAGUUCAACACGAGCAAAUAUCUAGUAAUUCAUAAGUUCAAAAACAUGAACACCAUAAAUCAAACUCUCAAGCUAGAGGGGCCGGUACAACUUUCCACGGGUGCAUUUGAAGCUUGUUGAGUAUGAUCAUGUGAAGCUUCCAUUUAAUCUACAAAAAUUAAGAUACAAGUCCAACAGAUAAGUACAAUUCCAGCAGAUCUAGCAAUUAGCAAGUAUUUCAAUAAAUUAAGAACAAAUCCAAUAUAUGAUACCACAAUUAUUUCUGAAGAAUCAGAACUAAUUCCAAG
Molecule: long non-coding RNA, 435 nt
Filed under: Salvia miltiorrhiza (redroot sage)
Lineage: Eukaryota; Viridiplantae; Streptophyta; Magnoliopsida; Lamiales; Lamiaceae
Description: long non-coding RNA (SMIL_LNC007667)
Source: RNAcentral